Long non-coding RNA from Helianthus annuus (common sunflower), 302 nucleotides. RefSeq lists it as uncharacterized. The transcript is spliced from 3 exons. NCBI's taxonomy places the organism in Eukaryota, Viridiplantae, Streptophyta, Magnoliopsida, Asterales, Asteraceae. The record is from RefSeq and is a predicted model, not a curated record.
AGUGAGGGGUGUAAACCCUAACCCUCAAGAAACCAUCAAAUUGAAGAAGGAUUUCAGCCUAAACUAAUGCAUGAACACGUUUUCUUGAUGAUCUAGCCCUAUUAAACAUGUGGAUAGGGAUCACAUUAGCAUGGACUCAAGAACGGAACGCUAACGGGUCAUGAGGAGGUGAGGAAGCAAGCUUGAACACGAACGCUUAAGGUUAUACGGAUAACGGGCGGAUUAUCACAAGAAUUAGAGAUCGAAGACCGAGUCACGAGCUAGAUUGUACGGGAAUAAUUAAGUAUGUACUAUUAGUAAAC